Molecule: ribosomal RNA, 605 nt
Filed under: Vibrio sp. MED222
Lineage: Bacteria; Pseudomonadati; Pseudomonadota; Gammaproteobacteria; Vibrionales; Vibrionaceae
Description: bacterial SSU rRNA
Rfam family: Bacterial small subunit ribosomal RNA
Source: RNAcentral
GGUGGAGCAUGUGGUUUAAUUCGAUGCAACGCGAAGAACCUUACCUACUCUUGACAUCCAGAGAAGCCAGCGGAGACGCAGGUGUGCCUUCGGGAGCUCUGAGACAGGUGCUGCAUGGCUGUCGUCAGCUCGUGUUGUGAAAUGUUGGGUUAAGUCCCGCAACGAGCGCAACCCUUAUCCUUGUUUGCCAGCGAGUAAUGUCGGGAACUCCAGGGAGACUGCCGGUGAUAAACCGGAGGAAGGUGGGGACGACGUCAAGUCAUCAUGGCCCUUACGAGUAGGGCUACACACGUGCUACAAUGGCGCAUACAGAGGGCAGCAAGCUAGCGAUAGUGAGCGAAUCCCAAAAAGUGCGUCGUAGUCCGGAUUGGAGUCUGCAACUCGACUCCAUGAAGUCGGAAUCGCUAGUAAUCGUGAAUCAGAAUGUCACGGUGAAUACGUUCCCGGGCCUUGUACACACCGCCCGUCACACCAUGGGAGUGGGCUGCAAAAGAAGUGGGUAGUUUAACCUUUCGGGGAGGACGCUCACCACUUUGUGGUUCAUGACUGGGGUGAAGUCGUAACAAGGUAGCCCUAGGGGAACCUGGGGCUGGAUCACCUCCUUA